This 469-nucleotide ribosomal RNA is filed under the name uncultured bacterium. RNAcentral describes it as "partial 16S ribosomal RNA". It matches the Rfam family "Bacterial small subunit ribosomal RNA", at positions 28 to 507 of the family's 1533-position model. The record is from RNAcentral.
GACGAACGCUGGCGGCGUGCUUAACACAUGCAAGUCGAACGGAAAGGCCCUGCUUGCAGGGUGCUCGAGUGGCGAACGGGUGAGUAACACGUGGGUGAUCUGCCCCUUACUUUGGGAUAAGCCUGGGAAACUGGGUCUAAUACUGGAUAGGACCAUGCUGUAGGUGGUGUGGUGGAAAGAUUAGUUUCGGUAAGGGAUGAGCUCGCGGCCUAUCAGCUUGUUGGUGGGGUAAUGGCCUACCAAGGCGUCGACGGGUAGCCGGCCUGAGAGGGUGGACGGCCACAUUGUGACUGAGAUACGGCCCAGACUCCUACGGGAGGCAGCAGUGGGGAAUAUUGCACAAUGGGCGCAAGCCUGAUGCAGCGACGCCGCGUGGGGGAUGACGGCCUUCGGGUUGUAAACUCCUUUCAGCCAUGACGAAGCCCUUGUGGUGACGGUAGUGGUAGAAGAAGCACCGGCUAACUACGUG